AUACGGAGGAUCCGAGCGUUAUCCGGAUUUAUUGGGUUUAAAGGGUGCGCAGGCGGCCAUUUAAGUCAGCGGUUAAAUCGUGGGGCUCAACCCCAUUCUGCCGUUGAUACUGGGUGGCUUGAUUGCGGUCGAGGUUGGCGGAAUUCGUUGUGUAGCGGUGAAAUGCAUAGAUAUGACGAAGAACACCGAUUGCGUAGGCAGCUGACCAGAACGCAAAGGACGCUCAUGCACGAAAGUGCGGGGAUCGAACAGGAUUAGAUGCCCUGGUAGUCCGCACAGUAAACGAUGAAUACUUGUUUUCGGCGAUAUAAUGUCGGAGGCAAAGCGAAAGCGAUAAGUAUUCCACCUGGGGAGUACGCCGGCACCGGUGAAACUCAAAGGAAUUGACGGGG
Molecule: ribosomal RNA, 392 nt
Filed under: uncultured bacterium
Lineage: Bacteria
Description: partial 16S ribosomal RNA
Rfam family: Bacterial small subunit ribosomal RNA
Source: RNAcentral